UAAUUCUGUGUUCAUUGCCAUUUCUAUGAGAAGUGUCUUCAAUGUUUGCUACAAUCCAAGGUACAUAAUCUUGGGUAUUAUAUUAGAAAGUGGCUAUUCUCGAAUUGAACUUUAAAGAUUGUUAAUUUUUUUUGGGUGGGGGUGGGGGUGUGGGGUGUGGUGGGGGUGGUUGUGGGGGUGGGGGGAGGUCAAUUUGAUUCCACGUUUAACUACAUUCUUACGUUGUUUAGUCUUGUCAUGAGCAUCUUCAUAGGAGAGUUCACAACUUCAUGUCCAUCUCCAGAGCUUCAUAAUUUCAACAUGUUCUGCACUCUAUUAAAAAUGAACUACCAUAAAGCUGCAAAAAUUGUAGAUUGUGAACAUAUAAUUUUGUGACAUAACGACUUUCAUUCUGGUAUGCAAUCUUUGUUGGUGAGAUUCCCCUACUCAAGGAGACUGGGAUAUUGGUAACGUUUUUAUCAUUAUUUUCUAAGUUUUAUUUAUCUCUUUUAAUGGUAAGUUCAUGUUAUUUACUCAUUUUGAAGCAAGGAUCAUACAACGAUUUCAUGUCAAGAAUGUUGACUUUACAAUUUUAUAAAAUAGUUGAAUAUCUUGGCAUGCUUUGUUUAGCCCAUAUCCUACUGGGUAUAUACUUGGUUCUCAUGGUCUUGCUCAGUUUUAUGUGCAUUUCAUGCUUUUUGUGGAGUUAUCAUGUGAUUGUGUACUGCAUGAUGAGCAAAAUUUCUCUUGUACACCUAUUUAAAUUUUAUUUUGCUUUAGACUUUCCUAACG
Molecule: long non-coding RNA, 771 nt
Filed under: Panax ginseng (ginseng)
Lineage: Eukaryota; Viridiplantae; Streptophyta; Magnoliopsida; Apiales; Araliaceae
Description: long non-coding RNA (PGIN_LNC018282)
Source: RNAcentral